AUUCGCUUCGGCGGUAGAUUUACUGAAAUUGGAACGAUACAGAGAAGAUUAGCAUGACCCGCGCGGAAGGACGAGACGAAAAAUCGCGGCUGGCACGGCAGCUCA
This is a small nuclear RNA of Schistocerca gregaria, 105 nucleotides long. NCBI's taxonomy places the organism in Eukaryota, Metazoa, Arthropoda, Insecta, Orthoptera, Acrididae. The record is from RefSeq and is a predicted model, not a curated record.